UAGGGAAUCUUCCACAAUGGACGAAAGUCUGAUGGAGCAACGCCGCGUGUGUGAUGAAGGCUUUCGGGUCGUAAAGCACUGUUGUAUGGGAAGAACAGCUAGAAUAGGAAAUGAUUUUAGUUUGACGGUACCAUACCAGAAAGGAACGGCUAAAUACGUGCCAG
Molecule: ribosomal RNA, 164 nt
Filed under: uncultured bacterium
Lineage: Bacteria
Description: partial 16S ribosomal RNA
Rfam family: Bacterial small subunit ribosomal RNA
Source: RNAcentral